GCAGAGGGGAAGAAGCUGUUCCUGAAUCGCUGAGUGUGUGCCGUCAGGCUUCUGUACCUCCUCCCUGAUGGUAACAGUGAGAAGUGGCCAUGCCCCGGGUGCUGGACGCCCUUAAUAAGUGAUGCAGCAUAAGAACACGAUUCUGCCUCUCACUCACACACGAGGGGCAAUUUACCGUGGCUGAUUAACCUACUGGCCUGUGCCUUGGAAUGCGGACAGAAAGCAGAGCCCCUGGGCUAAACACACAUGGUCACAGGGAGAGUGCGCACACUCCACACACAGACAACGUCGGAAGUCGGGAUCGAACCUGGAUCUCUGGAGAUGUAAGGAACUGCUCGACCGGCCAAGGCUUCCGUCAGAUUAUGUGUCGCCAAACAUCCAAGUGAUUCCACUGAACCGGUUUUAAGAGCGAGGAACGGUUUCUUCGGAGCUCCUGGCUGCAAUUCACUGACUUCAUUAAAAAGCGUGUUGAUGAGUGUGUGCCGACAAGAACAUACUGUACAUAUCUGAUUCAAAAGCUGUGGAUGAACCAGGAGAUUCGUAGUCUGCUGAGGGCUAGAUCUGUGGCAUUCAAGUCUGGUGAUCCAGGACUGUACGAGAAGGCCAGGUACAAUUUACGAACGGCUAUCUGAAGAGCAAAAGAGCAAUUCCAAUGGGAGUUAGAGGUGGAAUGAGAUGCACGUUAACUGUGCCAGAGCUUAAAGGCCAUUACUUUCUACAAAGUGAAACCUAACAUCACGAAGAGCAGAGGUGCUCACCCCCAGAUGAGAUCAACACCUUUUAUGCUCACUUUGAAAGGAAGAAUGAAAUGACGGCUAUGAGGGUCCCUGCAGUAUCCGGUGACAGUGUGAUCUCUGUCUCAAGGGCCAACAUCCAAAAAUCUUCCAAAGGGUGAACCAUCGGAGGAAGGAGGAAGGCCCCGAUGGUGUACCUGAACACCUGAGCCAACCAAGUGGUGGCUGUGUUGAAAGACGUUUUCAAUCUCUCAUUGCUACACUUGGAAGUUCAUACCUUCUUCAAAAGGGCAACCAUCAUAUCAAUGCCUGAGAAAAGCAGGGUAAGCUACCUUAACAACUAUUGUUCAGUCGCACUCACAUCUACAGUGAUCAAAUGCUUUGACAGGUUGGUUAUAGCUAGAAUCAACUCCCGCCUGGGCAUGGACCUGGACCUACUGCAAUUUGCCCAUCACCUCAACAGGUCUACAAUGGAUGUGGUCUCAUUGGCUCCUCAUGUGGCCUUGGAUCACCCAGACAAUACUGCUGUUUAUUGACUACAGCUCAGUGUUUAAUACAAUUAUUCCUACUAUUCUGAUCAAAAAGAUCCAAAAUGCAGGCCUCUGUACCUCCCUCUGCAAUUGGAUCCUGGACUUCCUAAAGAAAAGAUCACAGUCUGUGUGGAUCGGAAACAAACAUCUCCAUUCUGCUAAUAAUCGACACUGGCACACCUCAAGAAUGUGGCCCACUGCUCUACUCUCUCUACACCCAUGGCUGUGUGGCCAGGCACAGCUCAAAUGCCAUCUAUAAAUUUGCUGAUAACACAAUUAUUGUUGGCAGAAUUUCAGAUGGUAAUAAGAAGGCGUACAGUAGUGAGAUAGAUCAGUUGGUUGAGUGGUAACACAGCAGCAAUCUUGCACUUAAAGUCAGUAAGACCAAAGAAUUGAUUGUCCUAUGAGGAUUGGUGUGUGUUCCCUUGUCUUACCCUUAUUGUGUAUUGCAAUGUACCUUUGCCGCACAGCAACAAAUUCAUGACAUGUGCCAGUGAUAUUAAACAGUGAGAACCGGGUGAUGGUAAUCAUAAAUAAAAAAAGAGUAGCUGUGAGAAUGACUUUCCUAACAGUGAAAUACAAUGAUCAACAAGCCACAUUAGGCUUGUAUGUGAUAAAAGCAGGAGGGUCAGUGUUGUGGGGCUAUGCUUGGCUGAGACAACUGCAACUUGAUUGGAGAUCCACCCCCGAUUUUCUUGCCAUAUCACCACCAAUAGAGUCAACUGAAAGAGAACUAAGAAAGGGACUGGAUGAUGCCGCAGCGGUGUUCAACCAUUGCAUUGGAAGGCUCAAACAUAUCAAAGGUAAAAUACUGUUAAAUGAAAAAGCCACACCCAAGUUUUAAAAAGCCCUCCAAUUCCUUAAACCAUCCAUGAUCUAGAUCGCAUGGAGGCUGAAAGAAUUCUUUCCAAGUUUGAGUGAGGCCCAUGGGGCAACACCAGAGGUCCCAGUAGCCAAGAAGAACGGGUUCAUUAGGAUUUGGGGUGACUUUAACGUCACCAUCAACUCAGUACUGUAAGUAGAUUAAUGCUUUUUACCCAGGAUAGAGGUUAUCUUUGGAAACCAUUCUGGAGGAAAACACUUCAGCAAGGUGGACUUAGCUGAGGCCUACCUACAGAAGAUGGAAGAAGAGUCCGAAGUGUUUCUCACUACAAAGGGCUUUAUCACAAUAGGUUUAUUUUUGGAGUUGUAUCUCCACCUGCAGCCUGGCAGAAAGCGACAGACUAGGUGCUGCAAGGCUACCUGGAUGACAUCAUUGUUACUGGUAAGAAUGACAAGGAACACAUCCAAAAUCUCAAGACAGUGUUGAAAAGAUUAGAAAAUUAUGGGCUCAGAGAACAAUACAUCAAGUGAGAAUUCAUUAAACCAAGCAUCACUUACUGUGACUGCACCAUUGAUGCACAAGGAUUAAACAAGUGUACUGAGAAACUUCAAGCAGUGCUGGAUGCCCCAAGGCCAAAGGAUGUGUUAUAUUUGUGGUCCUUUUUAUUAUUUGUCAAUUACUAUAUCAGGUUCUUGCCAAACCUGGCUACUGUGCUCCACCCCCUGAACUCAUUACUACAGAUUAGGAAGAAAUGGCAAUGGACAAAGUAGCGUGAGGUAUCUUUCUAAAAGGCAAAGGAAAUGGUGACGUCAGACACCUUGCUCACACAUUGUGAUUCACACCAUCCAGUGAAGCUUGUCCGUGAUGCCUUGCCUUAUGUAUUAGGUGCAGUAAUUUCAUAUGCAAAGAGUGAUGGAAGUGAUGUCCCAUAGCCUUUGCAUCAUGUUCCCUUACUGCUGCAGAGAAAAAGUAAACACAGAAUAACAGAGAGGCCUUGAUUCUGGUUUGGCGUAUAACUUUUCAAUCAGUACCUAUAUGGGAGAGAGUUUACCCUCAUUACUGAUCUUCAACCACUAGUGUCCAUUUUCAACCCACAGAAAGGCGUUCCACUCACGGCAGCAGCACAAAUGCACAGAUGGAUUCAGAAGACACAACUACAGAUCAAAUUCAAGAAGACAACUGAUCAUGGAAAUGCUGAUGGAAAGAAAGGUGUUCAGAGCUGUCAGAACCAACUCCUGCAACCACCUGAGGAGGCCGCAGAGCUUGAGAUUGUUUCACAGCCACGCACCACACCUGCCAAGCAGAGUGAUUCCCCGUGCUGUUAUCCCACAACAGUAAGGAAUCCUUCACAGGGAUUAAAUCUUUAGACUUGAAUGGGACAAUUUAAAAUUUACUAGGCUGUGGAUGUCUGUAUAGUAGUUGUAUUAUAUACAGUAUACAGUACUGUGUAUAUAGCUGAGAUGAAUUCAAUAAUGAGUUGGACGGAGUAUUUAAUAUUUCAGUACUAUUUGAGUAACAUUGUAAAGACAUUGUUUGAUUAAGCAUUCUUUGUUUAUAUAAUCCUCUCACCAGGUCCUUAUGCAAACCUGGUUCAAUAACCAAAUCGACUAACAGGCAUGGGACACAGCAGUGAGAAUGCCACUUUUAUAAACAAUAUAUGUCGAGGAUCGGUAUGAUUUGGGGUUCAACCAAAGAGAAAAGUUUGGAUGUUCCAAUUAAUGGAACCUUGAUUUGAGUGAAUGCUGUGAAAAUACUGCCCAUACACAAUUGUCGGUCAGCAAGGAAUAUCAGAUUGUACACCACAUAAAUUUAUAAAGAAAGUAUAUUUGCCAAUUUCAUCUUUAUCAAACAGUUAAUAGGCAAAAGAAAAUGACCCAUUAGAGUUUAACAGUCCAAUGUGCACAAUGACCAUUGGAGCGCAUACUGGAGUAUUCAGGAUUAUUCAUGUGCCUGUGGUCUGCAUAAAAACACCCCCGUAUUUUCAAUCUCCCCUCAAAGACCAUCUCAAGCAAACAGGCUCUCUCUCUCAGGGGUAUUACCCCUUCCUACUUGGAACUAUUCCUCUGCACAAAGCACGUCUGGCAGCAGGGAUUCUCCUUCGCACGGCAUUCUGUGGCAUCUUCCCUCAUGCCCUGCUCUGAAGCUCCCACCAAAAGACGGCAAACUAGACUGCUGUCCUUCAGAAAACUCUUUCCCACAACUCUCUAGAAUCUUCUCUCACAUCCCACUGUCCUGAUUGGCUGACCUACAUUCCUAAGUUGGACAACGUGUUGAAUCUUAGCUGAAUCCAAAACACGCUUUCCAGCAUGGCACACUGCUUCUUUUAUAGAAAACUGUUAACAUAACCCACCUCACAGCAGAGCAGUGGAAAUCUUAUCCAGAGCAUUACACUUACAUAAUCCAUUAUAGGUUACAUGUAAAAAUAGGUGAAUGGCAUAUAUCAUUAUGCCACCACAGCAUUUGUGCAUGUCUCACUUAAAGUAAAAAUGAAACUAAGUUAGUAAUUCCUGGCUCCAUGUUUUUAUGUUUUGGAGUUACCAACCGUGCACCUUAUAUUAGCCUUUUCCACCCUGCAAAAAAGUCUCGAUCUAUCCACUCGUUCAAUGCCUCUUACCAUUUUGAAUACCUCUAUCAAGUCACCUCUCAUCCUCCUUCACGCCAAAGAGAAAAGUCCUAGCUCAAUCAACUUAUCCUCAUAAGACAUCCUCUCCAAUCCAGGCAGAAUCCUGACAAAUCUCCUCUACACCCUCUCUAAAUCUUCCUCAUCUAUACUAUAAUGAGGCAACCAGAACACGAUACAACAAUCCAAGCAACAGAAUAUCUGUAGAUGCUGGUAAUCAAAGUAAUACAGACAAAAUGCUGGAGGAAAUCAGUAGGCCAGGCAGCAUCUAUGGAAAAGGGUAAACAGUUGACAUUUUGGGCUGAGAUCUUUCAUCAGGACCUGUUGAAAACAUUCUCUACUAUCCACUUACCCCACAAACUUUCAUGUCACAUUUUUGAAAUUAUCUAGAACCCCACUCCCACACUCACUUUAUGUUCGGGGUGGAGUGGGGGGGCGGGGUUUAUAUCCUUCUCUUCCCCAGGUAGAGAAUCUCUACCUUAUAUGAUGCAGACUCACUUAGCAUGGACAUUGGAUUGUAGAAAGAUCUAUCAACAAACUAGUGAAAAAACUCAGCAGGUCGAGCAGCAUCUGUGGUGGGAAAGGAGUUGUCGGCAUUUCAGGUCGAAAUCCUGCCUGAGGAUUGACAGUAGAGAGG
Long non-coding RNA from Hypanus sabinus (Atlantic stingray), 5344 nucleotides. RefSeq lists it as uncharacterized. NCBI's taxonomy places the organism in Eukaryota, Metazoa, Chordata, Chondrichthyes, Myliobatiformes, Dasyatidae. The record is from RefSeq and is a predicted model, not a curated record. The transcript has 4 exons.